GACGAACGCUGGCGGCGUGCUUAACACAUGCAAGUCGAACGGAAAGGCCCUGCUUUUGUGGGGUGCUCGAGUGGCGAACGGGUGUGUAUCACGUGUGUAACCUGCCCUUGACUUUGGGAUAACUUUAGGAAACUGGGGCUAUUAUCGGAUAGGAGCUCCUGCUGCAUGGUGGGGGUUGGUAAGAUUCGGCGGUUGGGGAUGGACUGGCGGCUUACCAGCUUGUUUGUGAGGUAGUGGAUUACCAAGGCUUCGACGGGUAGGCGGCCUGAGAGGGUGGCCGGCCACAUUGGGACUGAGAUACGGCGCAGACUGGUACGGGAGGCAGCAGUGGAGAAUAUUGCACAGUGAGCGGAAGCCUGAUGCAGCAGCGCCGCGAGCGGGAUGACGGCCUUCGGGUUGUGAACCGCUUUCGCCUGUGACGAGGCGUGAGUGACGGUAAUGGGUAAAGAAGCACCGGCUAACUACGUG
This 468-nucleotide ribosomal RNA is filed under the name uncultured bacterium. RNAcentral describes it as "partial 16S ribosomal RNA". It matches the Rfam family "Bacterial small subunit ribosomal RNA", at positions 28 to 507 of the family's 1533-position model. The record is from RNAcentral.